Molecule: non-coding RNA, 252 nt
Filed under: Dorea sp.
Lineage: Bacteria; Bacillati; Bacillota; Clostridia; Lachnospirales; Lachnospiraceae
Description: T-box sequence
Rfam family: T-box leader
About the family: Uncharged tRNA acts as the effector for transcription antitermination of genes in the T-box leader family. T-boxes are found upstream of many aminoacyl-tRNA synthetase genes and some amino acid biosynthetic genes usually in Gram-positive bacteria.
Source: RNAcentral
GUAAAGGCAUUGAUGAAGAGGAGUACACGUAAGUUCGUCCAUACCAGAGAGAGUGAUCCAUCGGCUGAGAGGCACUUAAGGAAUACGAGACGUAGGAAGGUAGCUUCGGAGCCGGAUGAGUGAACCUGAGACAUAUGAUAAGACGGUAGUAGUUCAUCCCGGAGUCGUUCCCGUUAAAGAAUAAGAUGAGAUAUAUGGGGAAGAGUUUUCCUGUAUAAUGAAGGUGGUACCGCGACUACAAUCGCCCUUUAC